Molecule: ribosomal RNA, 440 nt
Filed under: uncultured bacterium
Lineage: Bacteria
Description: partial 16S ribosomal RNA
Rfam family: Bacterial small subunit ribosomal RNA
Source: RNAcentral
CCUACGGGAGGCAGCAGUAGGGAAUAUUGCUCAAUGGGGGAAACCCUGAAGCAGCAACGCCGCGUGGAGGAUGAAGGUUUUCGGAUUGUAAACUCCUUUUUAUAGAGAAGUUAAUUACUGUAUCUAACGAAUAAGCACUGGCUAACUCCUUUCCAGCAGCCGCGGUAAUACGGAGGAUGCAAGCGUUACGCGGAAUCACUGGGCGUAAAGCGCGCGUAGGUGGUAUAGCAAGUCAGAUGUGAAAUCCUAUGGCUUAACCAUAGAACUGCAUUUGAAACUGUUAUUCUAGAGUAUGGGAGAGGUAGGUGGAAUUCUUGGUGUAGGGGUAAAAUGCGUAGAGAUCAAGAGGAAUACUCAUUGCGAAGGCAUCUCACGGAUCCGCGACUGACGCUGAGGCACGAAAGCGUGGGUAUCAAACAGGAUUAGAUACCCCUGUAGUC